AACGUAGGAGGCUAGCGUUAUCCGGAUUUACUGGGCGUAAAGCGCGCGUAGGUGGCUCCGUAAGUCGGGCGUGAAAUCUCCCGGCUCAACUGGGAGGGGUCGUCCGAUACUGCGGAGCUUGAGGGCAGGAGAGGGAGGUGGAAUUCCCGGUGUAGUGGUAAAAUGCGUAGAUAUCGGGAGGAACACCAGUGGCGAAGGCGGCCUCCUGGCCUGCCCCUGACGCUGAGGCGCGAAAGCGUGGGGAGCGAACGGG
This 253-nucleotide ribosomal RNA is filed under the name uncultured bacterium. RNAcentral's name for it is "partial 16S ribosomal RNA". It matches the Rfam family "Bacterial small subunit ribosomal RNA", at positions 524 to 776 of the family's 1533-position model. The record is from RNAcentral.